CUUUCGGUGAUCUAAAAUCUCUUCAAUACCUGGACUUGUCCAAUAACAGCCUGUCUGGUCCAAUACCUGAUUUUCUGGCACAAAUGCCAUCACUUAAAUUCCUUGAUUUGUCAAGCAACAAACUCAGUGGAUCAAUUCCUGCAGCUCUAGUACGAAAGCGUCAAAAUGGAUCCCUUGUAUUAA
Long non-coding RNA from Triticum dicoccoides, 183 nucleotides. RefSeq lists it as uncharacterized. Lineage: Eukaryota; Viridiplantae; Streptophyta; Magnoliopsida; Poales; Poaceae. The record is from RefSeq and is a predicted model, not a curated record. The transcript is spliced from 3 exons.